RNAcentral lists this ribosomal RNA (490 nucleotides) under uncultured bacterium. Its description in RNAcentral is "partial 16S ribosomal RNA". It matches the Rfam family "Bacterial small subunit ribosomal RNA", at positions 30 to 507 of the family's 1533-position model. The record is from RNAcentral.
AUUGAACGCUGGCGGCAGGCCUAACACAUGCAAGUCGAACGGUAACAGGAAGCAGCUUGCUGCUUUGCUGACGAGUGGCGGACGGGUGAGUAAUGUCUGGGAAACUGCCUGAUGGAGGGGGAUAACUACUGGAAACGGUAGCUAAUACCGCAUAACGUCGCAAGACCAAAGAGGGGGACCUUAGGGCCCCUUGCCAUCGGAUGUGCCCAGAUGGGAUUAGCUAGUAGGUGGGGUAACGGCUCACCUAGGCGACGAUCCCUAGCUGGUCUGAGAGGAUGACCAGCCACACUGGAACUGAGACACGGUCCAGACUCCUACGGGAGGCAGCAGUGGGGAAUAUUGCACAAUGGGCGCAAGCCUGAUGCAGCCAUGCCGCGUGUAUGAAGAAGGCCUUCGGGUUGUAAAGUACUUUCAGCGGGGAGGAAGGGAGUAAAGUUAAUACCUUUGCUCAUUGACGUUACCCGCAGAAGAAGCACCGGCUAACUCCGUG